This 505-nucleotide ribosomal RNA is filed under the name uncultured bacterium. RNAcentral's name for it is "partial 16S ribosomal RNA". It matches the Rfam family "Bacterial small subunit ribosomal RNA", at positions 28 to 507 of the family's 1533-position model. The record is from RNAcentral.
GACGAACGCUGGCGGCGUGCCUAAUACAUGCAAGUAGAACGCACAGUUUAUACCGUAGCUUGCUACACCAUAAACUGUGAGUUGCGAACGGGUGAGUAACGCGUAGGUAACCUGCCUGGUAGCGGGGGAUAACUAUUGGAAACGAUAGCUAAUACCGCAUAAUAUUAAUUAUUGCAUGAUAAUUGAUUGAAAGAUGCAAUUGCAUCACUACCAGAUGGACCUGCGUUGUAUUAGCUAGUAGGUGAGGUAACGGCUCACCUAGGCGACGAUACAUAGCCGACCUGAGAGGGUGAUCGGCCACACUGGGACUGAGACCCGGCCCAGACUCCUACGGGAGGCAGCAGUAGGGAAUCUUCGGCAAUAGACGAAAGUCUGACCGAGCAACGCCGCGUGAGUGAAGAAGGUUUUCGGAUCGUAAAGCUCUGUUGUAAGAGAAGAACGGGGGUGAGAGUGGAAAGUUCACACUGUGACGGUAUCUUACCAGAAAGGGACGGCUAACUACGUG